Erinaceus europaeus (western European hedgehog) is the source of this 480-nucleotide long non-coding RNA. RefSeq lists it as uncharacterized. NCBI's taxonomy places the organism in Eukaryota, Metazoa, Chordata, Mammalia, Eulipotyphla, Erinaceidae. The transcript is spliced from 3 exons. The record is from RefSeq and is a predicted model, not a curated record.
CAAGGGACCGCAACCUGGGAAAAGCUUUUCAGGGCGAGCUUAUGGAGUUUGGACUUCACUCUGUACACAAUGAGAAGCCAACAACAUCCGAUUUUGAGCAGGGAAGUGACAGGUGAUGAUGAGUAAUGUUCCAGUUACACACAUAAGGAAACCACGGUGAGGAAAAGUCAAGUUCAUCCAGCUUAUCAAGCAGCAGAAACAACAUCGGAAUCCAUCUCUACACAUCCUGCAUGGUAUAUGUAGCUGGUAUCUGCGUACCUGUACACACAGCUGCUUCCUCUCAGCUCAGAUCCUAGUCAAAUUUCAGUGGGAAUGGAGACCAUCAAAGAGCCAAACCCUCAGAUAUUAAAUCAGAGCAGUUGUGUUCUGACUCUUGAAGAUAGUUUUCCCUUAAUACAUCAAUGGAAAGAUAUUUCAGGUGAAGAAACUACACACAGAUUCAAGCCCCCGGCUCCCCACUUGUAAGAGGAAAGCUUCACA